RNAcentral lists this long non-coding RNA (981 nucleotides) under Aquilegia coerulea. Its description in RNAcentral is "long non-coding RNA (ACOE_LNC001964)". Lineage: Eukaryota; Viridiplantae; Streptophyta; Magnoliopsida; Ranunculales; Ranunculaceae. The record is from RNAcentral.
UAUGGAUAAAAACAGCGGCAGGAAAGAUCAUCUUCGACUCCAAUGGAUAAUUAGGUUCUAUGAUCCCAUCUUUUAAGUUAAAAACUACCAUGUCAUGAGGUCCAACUCCCAAUUGAGUUGCUAGAUAUCGAUAAAUACAAUCGUCUGUUAAGUAGAUACAAUUUGGCUUGCACCCUGGCAAAUCUGAAACUUAGGGAGACAAGGAACAAUUAUCAUGGUUAUGUUCUUCACCUCAUCCCAUCUCCAGCAACCUCAAUUUAGCUUCAGAAUAGUAAAUCCAAGAGUGUAGUAAUUGUACCGAGAGCUACAUAUGUUCCUUACAAUUUGGAUCAAGUCCGCACUUGAUUCCACAAAUACAUCUACACAGUUGAAAAACCUGAAAAAAUACAGAAAUACAGAAUGUAAUGAUAUUGGAGUAUGAGGCAAAUUUGCAGUUAGGAAAAACCUGAAAAAAUAGCGUAUACAAAUAGAGCACCUCAGAGCAUAUUAUCAAUAAUCCAGUUAAAAAGAAAUAUAUAAGUAUUCAAAAACAAAAAUAAAUAAUUCAUCCAUAAAAAAGUACAAGUAUACAAGAAUAAAAAACAAAGAGCAAUAUCCAGAAGAAAGUUGUUGGUUUCAGGGUUGUUACCUGUUUGGUGUUUGGCUUUUUAAUGUUUUCGAAUCAAUUUUUGGAACAUGAGAUAGGAUGUUCAUCCAGUCCUCUCCUUCUCUGAAACGUUUUGCUAGAACAGCACAGUCAGUGAUCUAAAGUCUUGAAGCAACACUAGUACCUUUGAACAAUGAAAAAGGUUCUCGCGCUCUUACCUCUAUGUGGAAAGGAUCUCCAUGGCCCUAUUUGAUUGCUCACAUGUAAACUUAUGUGCUUCUUGUUAUAUUAUCUACAUACCAAACACGCACCCCACCUUAAAAUCAGCAAAUAUAAAUCUACAACCCUAACUUGCAGCAAAUAAUCCUAUUGCUACAUCUAGUGAUAAGAUUUCA